AUUGAACGCUGGCGGCAGGCCUAACACAUGCAAGUCGAACGAGUGGCGGACGGGUGAGUAAUGUCUGGGAAACUGCCUGAUGGAGGGGGAUAACUACUGGAAACGGUAGCUAAUACCGCAUACCAUCAGAUGUGCCCAGAUGGGAUUAGCUUGUUGGUGGGGUAACGGCUCACCAAGGCGACGAUCCCUAGCUGGUCUGAGAGGAUGACAGGCGCAACUGGAACUUGGCCACGGUCCAGCCUCCUACGGGAGGAAGCGGUGGGGAAUAUUGCGCAAUGGCCGCAAGCCUGAUGCAGCCAUGCCGCGUGUAUGAAGAAGGCCUUCGGGUUUUAAAGUACUUUCAGCGGGGCGGCGUUACCCGCAGAAGAAGCACCGGCUAACUCCGUGCCAGCAGCCGCGGUAAUUC
This 406-nucleotide ribosomal RNA is filed under the name uncultured bacterium. RNAcentral describes it as "partial 16S ribosomal RNA". It matches the Rfam family "Bacterial small subunit ribosomal RNA", at positions 30 to 526 of the family's 1533-position model. The record is from RNAcentral.